RNAcentral lists this ribosomal RNA (206 nucleotides) under Escherichia coli. RNAcentral describes it as "partial 23S ribosomal RNA". It matches the Rfam family "Bacterial large subunit ribosomal RNA", at positions 2742 to 2925 of the family's 2925-position model. RNAcentral also lists the same sequence under 1 other name. Lineage: Bacteria; Pseudomonadati; Pseudomonadota; Gammaproteobacteria; Enterobacterales; Enterobacteriaceae. The record is from RNAcentral.
CCGGUAGCUAAAUGCGGAAGAGAUAAGUGCUGAAAGCAUCUAAGCACGAAACUUGCCCCGAGAUGAGUUCUCCCUGACCCUUUAAGGGUCCUGAAGGAACGUUGAAGACGACGACGUUGAUAGGCCGGGUGUGUAAGCGCAGCGAUGCGUUGAGCUAACCGGUACUAAUGAACCGUGAGGCUUAACCUUACAACGCCGAAGCUGUU